This is a long non-coding RNA of Sesamum indicum (sesame), 6797 nucleotides long. RefSeq lists it as uncharacterized. The record is from RefSeq and is a predicted model, not a curated record. Lineage: Eukaryota; Viridiplantae; Streptophyta; Magnoliopsida; Lamiales; Pedaliaceae.
CACGCCAUUCUUCGAGUCUUUCAAUUCUUCGCUGGCUAUCUCUUUGGUUGCUUGUUCCUUUCUUUAAUUGGUUCUUUCUUUUUCCACUUCUUUUCGUUAAUUAAGUGCUUCUACUUGUUGAUUUAUAGAUGUGCGAUCUACGUCGGGGAGUCUGGCGAUCGUUUUCUGAUGUAGUCCGUUCAGAUCGGGGUUGUUUGGGUGCAUUUGGUUCCAAUUCGGCGAUGUUUGGUGUUGGAUUGAAAUUCAUUUUAUUGUUUUGUGGUUUUGUUUGGGAUCAUGUCUAGGCGUUUGGUUCUCGGUUGAUUUGGUUUUCUUUAUCUGCAGCGGGAGAUUUUGCGAACGAUGGUUAAUACAUGACCUGUGGUAGAAGAAAGGGGUUAACUAACUAAGUCUGAUUUUGUGUUUUGCUAGUUUUUGUCUUGGCCUUUAUGUGGUUUUCUUACACGAAAAUUUUGAUAUUAUGCUCUCAGACUUUUGGUUAAUUGGGAUCUUGCGAUAUUUCGAGACAAUGCCCGUUUUUAUCGAUUUGCCAUCUUCUUUCUAUAUGAGGAUGUUGUGGCUGGGAAGAUAUGAAGAAUCCCAAAGAUUUUGUUGAUGUGAAGAGAUUCUUCAGUGAAUUGUAAGGUUUUACUUCGAGGAUGGUAUGGUUUGGCACCGUUUGCAAGUGUUUUUUUAAAUAAAUUUGAUUUGAAGUUCUUGAACAUCUUGGAAUGACUUGGAGGAUUUUGAGUAGGUGCUGUCUGAUUUAAGUCCCGGUGUAGUUCUUGGUGAUUGGUAUGAUCAUUAUCGUAAUGUGCUCCUUGCCUGUUGAUAUAAGAGCGUUUAUGAUUAACAGAAUACCAUUUGUAUUGUACUUUUGGUCGUAUUCUGCUGUUGUUGCCCUUGGUCUCAUGCUGCAGAAUGUCCUGGGCAGGUUAAUCGAUCUUGUCUGCCUUAAGAUACGCCUGCAGUAAUGUGAUUAAUUGCAACCAGUGAUGAUGAUGCGUGCCAGGCUGUUUGGUAAUGUUUCUUGUUAGGUUUCGGGAGUCGUGAUUAUUCUAUUAUUUUUGGAGACUUGGGCUUUUUGAUCGCAGAAUGUAUUAAUCAAGACCAACUAGUGUUGCCCGGCUUGAGAGAUGCACACUGUGAGGCGAUUGGAUAAUCAUUCAUCUGUCCCGAGUCUGCCUUUGGGUUUUUCCUUUUCAACAUCUUUCCUCAAGCAUUUAGAAUUUUAUUCUGCACUGCUAUCAUGCUUAUGUGCCUUGGAUAGCUGCUGUGCGCAUCACUUUCCUAUUUGCAGAAGGCUUGGCAAGAUCAAGGAGUGUUGUUUUGUUCAAGAGAUGCACUCUGUAAGGCUAUUUGGUUAGACCAUCAGAUUUUGAUACACCCGAUGCUGAGUCUGCCUUUGUUGUUUCAUUUGAGAAUAUCUUAAUUCAAGAAUCUUUGCUGUGAUUGUUUUUAUGUGCCCUUGAAUCCUUGCUGUGCACUUCGUUUUCCUAUUUGCAGAAACUGUGGCAACAACAAUCCUGGAUGAUGUAUUAUUUGGUACCUUUUAUUUUCUUAUCCAACAGUGUAUCAUGCUUUCAUAGUAUGCUUUUCUGGAUUUUGGCUUUGGGAUUGCAAGGCAUUGAUUACAGGCACCUUAUGAUGCGGCUCCACUAGUUCCAGAUAUGGAUAUACCUGAUGAGUAGGUUUGUCUUGUAAUUGGACCUUAGUUGUUGUGUUCGACUCCUGUGUCUUGGCUCUUGGUUGCAGAAUGUUUUAGGGGAGAGGCGGAGGAUUGCCUCAACACACAAAAAAAGGCACGCAAUGAUCUGCUGAGUUUGUGUCACUCCCCUCUCUACUUACACUUUUGCCAACAGAACUUUGCAAAGAAAGGAAUUGAUGCCAAACCACCAUUUUGUGGUACCUUAUGCUUUUAUAGUUUUGGAGAAGUUGCAUUUAUGGAGUAAUGCUCUUCUGAGUUUGGCUUUUGAUUGCAGAGUUGUUGAGCUUAAGGAAUAUUGGCUGCUUCAGGAUAGGCACUGUAGAGGCCCCAUUAGUCCCACACAUGGAUACAUCUCAUCCUAAGUUUGCCUCAUCUGGCUUUCCUUUUGUCCUCUUCUCUCAUGAAUAGGCUUUAGUGUUUGCUGCCAUGAUUUUAUCUAUCAUUGAAUCCUAUUUCUAUUGCAGAUAACUGCAACGAUAAUGAUGAUGGCCUGCCAAUCAUUUGGUACCCUAUUAUUCUCUAGUUUUUAGGAAGUCACGUUAUUCUGUUAUGCUGUUCUCAAUCUUAAGUUGCAGAAGUGUUAGUGAAAGAGGUGAUGUUGCUGCAGUGUUUUCGGUUCCAGGAUAGGCCAUUAGCUCCUGAUGUGAAUGUACUUGAUACUACGUAUUUCUCUGUCUUGUGCUCUUUUCUUGUCUUGUCAUGUGUUCUCCAAGUUGCAGUGUGAAUCAUGUGUUACUGUCAUGGGUUCUAGUUUUGUCUGCAGAACAUAACAGGCUACUAGAGUAAUGAUGGCCGAACAAGCAAGCAUUUUCUACCUUUUCUUGUUUUCUCGUUUGGGGAGAUAUGGUGACUUUAUUUUCUUUUCCUGCCUCUUCCUUUCUCUGGCAUGAGAGUUAGUGCUGUUUGCUUCAUUCCUUAGACCUUGAUACAUCCAGAGAUAGCCUUGCCUGAAGCCAAGUUUGCAUUAUUCUGCUCCCUGACAUCAAUUUUUCUUUGGUGCCGCCACUAAGUUCCUAGUGUGCACUUCUAUAAUUCUUAUCUUUCCUCACAUUCUAGUAUGUGCGCCCUUUCUGUUUGCAGGAAACUGUGUGUGGCGAGCAUCUGGUUGUGUUUCCAUUUUGGAGUUUGUGUUUUCUUCACCCCGAACUUGCAUUAUGCUUCAAGAAUGGUUUUUGGUUUACGAGUACUUGUAUGUUAUUUUGUGAUUUUAACUUGGUUUCAGGUUUUGCUGAGGCAAGAGCUGCCUGGUCUUAAAAUUCUGGACUUGUUCUAAAGUGUGGGAUGAGUAUGGCAUAUGACUAAUAGUAUAUCUUUAAUUCAUGAACCUUCUAAUCUUUUUUGUGAUUCUCACGGAAGUUCGUUUUUUUAGGCUAUGGAGUAUAAAGUCACUGGUGUUUUGGGGCGUCAUUUAGUGUUUUGUAACGUUUCUCUUAUUUUCUAUUUAUCUAACUGUAUGUGUUCUCCAUUGGUUUUUAUUUGCUAAAUCUUGUUGUUAGCUUUUAAUCUGUUUAUCCAGGCGAUUUGAGUUGAAACAAUGUUUUGAAGUCAUCAAUUUGCUGGAAUGUUGGGAAGUCAAUUGUUACAUUUAUAUAUGGUUUGAGUUGACCUUGGGGUAUGAUCUUGUCUUCCUCCCGUGCCUCCCUGCCUAGUUGGACAGGUGUUGCGUUUGGCCAAGAGUAAUGUACAAGCCAUUUCCUUCUUACCUUUGUCUUCUUUAAUGAGGUUUUGGUUUUGUUGACCUUGUGUAUCAUUUGCCUUUUGGCUUUGGGAUGCUUUGCCUUUUGGUUUGCAGAUUUUGAAGAGUCCAAAUAUGGUUUUGUCCUGUUGCUUCCUCAUUUGAUCAUCAUCUCCUGCAUAUUGACACCGGUUUCCUUGGGUUGGCUCUUGGUGGUGGGGAUCUUUGGUGUGCACUGUUGAUUUCAAAUUUUUAAAUUUUGUGGGCUUUUUCUCGGAUGGUCCUUUCUUUUUUGUGUUCAAUAAACCUCUGUAGGGACUUGGUUUUCUUCGCGUAUUAUUUGAAAUUUCAUGUCAUUGAGUAUGUUCCCAGCUUGGAUGCUCAUGCUUAUUGUGCUGUCGCGGUUUUGGUUUUAGCACUAGCAGGCUUUGGGAAGUGUUCCAGAUUUGUGUUGUUAACGUUUGGUGUCUUUAUAUGUACAAACUAACAAUUUUGGAGUCUGAUUGGAACCAUUGAAUUACUCAAGGAAGGCCGACAUGGAGAGUGGACCAUAAAUUUUUGUGAUCUUUGUUAUGGUUUGCUGUUAACGUUUUGUUGCGCGCUUAAUCUGCAAGCAAUAGGUUGUAUGAGGGUUUGCAGUAUGCUGAGUCUAAUGUCUUGGCAAUUUCUGUAGGAAACCGCAGUUUGAAUAGGUCGUCAGUGGUCUCAUUCGGUGAGUUGUAUUGAUUCUUUUAGAAAUAUAGUAUUGUGGUACUGCUCUUGGGAUCUCUAGUUUGUAUCAUUCUUCUGCUCCCUUCUGUUUAACAGUGGCACAUGCUAUUUCUCCAUUUUUUAGCGGCAUUGAGUAUCGGGCGUUAAAUUGGCAAUGAAGUUUAUGAUUUUGGCUCUACUGCUGAUGGAUGUUAUGAGUCAUCAAUGGGGUGCUGUCCUCCCCGUUGUAUUUAUUCUGUUCUCCACUGGAGCUUGAUUACUCUGUUUCGGUCAUUUCUUUCUUUAAUCCUGCUGCGAAUGGAUGUUACGAGCUGUCAAUCCGGUGCUAUACUUUUCUGUGUUCCAUUUUUGCAAAUGAUAAAUACACAUCAUUUUGAUCAUGUCAACGGAAAGGUUUGGGCUGUUGCUGACUGCUUUAAGGGUGUCGUUUAUUGUGGUUUAAGUUCGUUGUGGAAUGUAUAGGCUCUUCUUGUCCUGACUUUUAAAGGCUUGACUACCAGCCAAAUGGAGACCCAUAUAAGAUGUGAUUGUCUGUUGCUUUUGUUGUGUGUAGGGUCUAAUAUCAUGAAUUUUUGAGCUGCUUCAUAUUCAACCUAUCGCUUUCCGUGUUACAAAUGAUGGAGGAUAGGCUUUUGUUAUUGAGAAAGCUGGUUGGGUUUCUUUGUUUUGAGCCAUGUCGAUUGGGGUCAUAACCGUGAACUUUGUCCCUGAAAUUUCUCUUCUGUGUUCAAUGAAUACUCAUGCUCCCUUUUCACCUUUUAACUAUGGAAAAAUUUUGGCUUUGUCUGGAGGAAGUGUGGGGUUCGCUGAUCUUAAUGGUUUCUACUCUUACCUUCAAUUCACCUGAUAUUUGUGGAGAAAGAGCCCGGUCAUUGAUGAGGACACUGAUAUGCUUCUGCAAGGUAGCCCAGCAUUAUAGACAUUUUGAGAGUGUGUGCUUUUCAUGGCUUUCUUGGAACUUCAUGGUCAUAAUUCGUUGCAACUAGCUGGCGAGAAUGUGAAGGUCAUAAACUAGUAGCCGUGCCUUUAGAUUAUCAAGACUUAUCAACUUAUUCAUGGCUUUCUUUGCACUUCAUGGUCGUAAUUCGUUGCAACUAGCUGGAGAGAAUGUGAAGGUCAUAAACUGGUAGCAGUGCCUUUAGAUUAUCAAGUCUUAUCAGCUCAACAUCACCUUCCUUUUGGCCAAAGCAUGUUUGCUGUUUCAACUGGAGGCAUUUUGGGCUUUUGCAAGUGGUGCGUGUCUAGUAUCAAAUCUCUCUCCUCCUGAAAGAUGUUCAUGAUAGACCUGUCUUGUGCCAUCUGUGGGAUACGAGUCGAUCAUUCCUUUUUGUGGCUGUUCCAUAUUUCCCAUUUCUGAGUUCCGCAAAAAAAGUGCAGAGAUGUUACUGUUGUGAACAGGUCCUCCCUUGUUUGUAAGAUGCUUCUAGUUGAUAUUCAUGAUAGGUGGCUGUCAUCUGGUUUUUCGUUGUUGCAUAAUGGUUUGUAGUUGGCAUUCUUCUUGACAUGUGUAGUUGUCCUUGGUUGGUAAGGAGGAGGAAAUUGAAGUGAAGAACUCAGGUACGUGAACCUGGGACAGAGAUAGUUGUGUUCUGUUAUGCUGAUUUUGUAGGUUUCUUACGGCGUUUAAGAACCUUCAGACUGUAAAAACUAUUUCAUCUAUGGGUGUGUUAGGUUGGUUAGUACGACAUACCUUGAAUCAUGUCAAAAUUGGGAGUUGUAUUGAAUGGCUAAAGUGGACGCUGGGAAUGGGCUUGAAGGCACUAGAAUUGUUAUUAGGAGGAAUCCUAUGAUUGGUGUUGUGCCCUGAAAUUGUGCAUGCCUUUUGUUGUGUGCAAUGCCUGCAGUGUUAAGUCCCUUGUGCUCUUCUGCUUUGAACAUUUUUUCAUGACUCUGUGGCUUUUGCUUUGCAUCUGUUGUUGCAUCUGUUCUUUGUUUUCAAGUGUAGUUAAUAGGUAACUUGUGUAACUCCGCCUGCGCCAAGUGCAGCCGGUUCCAAGCCCGGAUAAAGGAGGAGGGUCAAGUGAUCAUAUAUUUUUUUUGUGUGUACUAAGGGUUGUAGGGUUGGAGAAAUGGAAGUGGAAAAUCAAAGGUAGGUUGCAGGUGAAAUGCUGCUGUUGAAGUUUUUAGAAAUUGCAUCUAAUAAAAAUUGUAUUCUUUAUUAAAUCUACAUUUAUUCUGAAAAUUUCAAGUUUCUGGCUGAUAAAAAUUUUAGGAUCAUAUCUAUACAUUCUUACUCUUUUGUCGCCAUUAUUGUUGAAUUCCAAAAUGCAACUGAAUAUACGUUUUAUAUGUUAAUUUGGUGUUCGAUUUAUCUUAUCUUAAAUUAAGUUAAUUAUUUGUUUUGUGGAGGGAACUGAAAAAAAUUGAACUCCUAACAUUUUGAAAUGCCAAUUCGGUCUUGGGAAUAAAUAAGAGAAUUCGGCACAUGUUAGUGGGGAUUGUUUGAAAAUCUCUGCGAACGAGCAACUUCGGGUCUAGCUUUCGUCGCUAGAGAAAAGUCAUGGAGGUUGGCAGAUUAGGUCAUUACUUUCUGCAGGUUUUCUUUUGUGGGCUAUAGCUGUAGGUUGUGCAGUUUUGUUGAUACCCCUCUACUGUGGGAGUCUCAUUGUAGCGAUAGUAUCUACGUUUAGCGUCUUCACACUGUUCUCCUGAAUUUUUGAAAAAUAUGAUGAAAAAGCCUGAAAGUCGCCGUUUUCCCUCACAUCUGCCCUGGCGUUCGCUAUG